UACCCUACGGGGGCAGCAGUGGGGGAUAUUGCACAAUGGGGGGAACCCUGAUGCAGCGACGCCGCGUGGGUGAAGAAGCGCCUCGGCGCGUAAAGCCCUGUCAGCAGGGAAGAAAAUGACGGUACCUGAAGAAGAAGCCCCGGCUAACUACGUGCCAGCAGCCGCGGUAAUACGUAGGGGGCAAGCGUUAUCCGGAUUUACUGGGUGUAAAGGGUGCGCAGACGGCGAUGCAAUCCAGGAGUG
RNAcentral lists this ribosomal RNA (243 nucleotides) under uncultured bacterium. Its description in RNAcentral is "partial 16S ribosomal RNA". It matches the Rfam family "Bacterial small subunit ribosomal RNA", at positions 334 to 596 of the family's 1533-position model. The record is from RNAcentral.